This 242-nucleotide ribosomal RNA is filed under the name uncultured bacterium. Its description in RNAcentral is "partial 16S ribosomal RNA". It matches the Rfam family "Bacterial small subunit ribosomal RNA", at positions 521 to 761 of the family's 1533-position model. The record is from RNAcentral.
UAACACGUAGGGGGCAAGCGUUGUCCGGAUUUAUUGGGCGUAAAGAGCUCGUAGGUGGUUCGGUAAGUCAGGUGUGAAACCUCCAGGCUCAACCUGGAGACGCCACUUGAUACUGCUGUGACUGGAGUCCGGUAGGGGAGCGUGGAAUUCCUGGUGUAGCGGUGAAAUGCGCAGAUAUCAGGAGGAACACCAGCGGCGAAGGCGGCGCUCUGGGCCGGUACUGACACUGAGGAGCGAAAGCG